This is a non-coding RNA of Heligmosomoides polygyrus, 72 nucleotides long. The record is from Rfam. NCBI's taxonomy places the organism in Eukaryota, Metazoa, Nematoda, Chromadorea, Rhabditida, Heligmosomidae.
GCCCCCGUGGUGUAACGUGUAGCAUCGCUGCCCGAAAAGCAGAGGGUGCAGGUUCGAGUCCCGCCUGGAGCA